ACUCCUACGGGAGGCAGCAGUAGGGAAUCUUCCACAAUGGACGAAAGUCUGAUGGAGCAACGCCGCGUGAGUGAAGAAGGGUUUCGGCUCGUAAAACUUUGUUGUUAAAGAAAGAACAUAUCUGAGAGUAACUGUUCAGGUAUUGACGGUAUUUAACCAGAAAGCCACGGCUAACUACGUGCCAGCAGCCGCGGUAAUACGUAGGUGGCAAGCGUUGUCCGGAUUUAUUGGGGCGUAAAGCGAGCGCAGGCGGUUUUUAAGUCUGAUGUGAAAGCCUUCGGCUCAACCGAAGAAGUGCAUCGGAAACUGGGGAAACUUGAGUGCAGAAGAGGACAGUGGAACUCCAUGUGUAGCGGUGAAAUGCGUAGAUAUAUGGAAGAACACCAGUGGCGAAGGCGGCUGUCUGGUCUGUAACUGACGCUGAGGCUCGAAAGUAUGGGUAGCAAACAGGAUUAGAUACCCUGGUAGGAUAGCG
This 475-nucleotide ribosomal RNA is filed under the name uncultured bacterium. RNAcentral's name for it is "bacterial SSU rRNA". It matches the Rfam family "Bacterial small subunit ribosomal RNA", at positions 335 to 802 of the family's 1533-position model. The record is from RNAcentral.